UACGUAGGGUGCGAGCGUUGUCUGGAAUUAUUGGGCGUAAAGGGCUCGUAGGCGGUUUGUCACGUCGGGAGUGAAAACUCAGGGCUUAACCCUGAGCCUGCUUCCGAUACGGGCAGACUAGAGGUAUGCAGGGGAGAAUGGAAUUCCUGGUGUAGCGGUGAAAUGCGCAGAUAUCAGGAGGAACACCGGUGGCGAAGGCGGGUCUCUGGGCCGUAACUGACGCUGAGGAGCGAAAGCAUGGGGAGCGAACAGG
RNAcentral lists this ribosomal RNA (253 nucleotides) under uncultured bacterium. RNAcentral's name for it is "partial 16S ribosomal RNA". It matches the Rfam family "Bacterial small subunit ribosomal RNA", at positions 524 to 776 of the family's 1533-position model. The record is from RNAcentral.